Molecule: transfer RNA, 91 nt
Filed under: Armillaria solidipes
Lineage: Eukaryota; Fungi; Basidiomycota; Agaricomycetes; Agaricales; Physalacriaceae
Description: tRNA-Arg
Rfam family: tRNA
About the family: Transfer RNA (tRNA) molecules are approximately 80 nucleotides in length. Their secondary structure includes four short double-helical elements and three loops (D, anti-codon, and T loops).
Source: RNAcentral
GGCCGUCUGGCGAAAUGGCAUCGCGUCUGACUACGAUUAAUCUAAUCAUUGUCACAUCAGGAGAUUGCAGGUUCGACCCCUGCGUCGGUCA